RNAcentral lists this ribosomal RNA (910 nucleotides) under Pseudarthrobacter sp. RNAcentral's name for it is "bacterial SSU rRNA". It matches the Rfam family "Bacterial small subunit ribosomal RNA", at positions 555 to 1460 of the family's 1533-position model. The record is from RNAcentral. Lineage: Bacteria; Bacillati; Actinomycetota; Actinomycetes; Micrococcales; Micrococcaceae.
UGGGCGUAAGAGCUCGUAGGCGGUUUGUCGCGUCUGCCGUGAAAGUCCGGGGCUCAACUCCGGAUCUGCGGUGGGUACGGGCAGACUAGAGUGAUGUAGGGGAGACUGGAAUUCCUGGUGUAGCGGUGAAAUGCGCAGAUAUCAGGAGGAACACCGAUGGCGAAGGCAGGUCUCUGGGCAUUAACUGACGCUGAGGAGCGAAAGCAUGGGGAGCGAACAGGAUUAGAUACCCUGGUAGUCCAUGCCGUAAACGUUGGGCACUAGGUGUGGGGGACAUUCCACGUUUUCCGCGCCGUAGCUAACGCAUUAAGUGCCCCGCCUGGGGAGUACGGCCGCAAGGCUAAAACUCAAAGGAAUUGACGGGGGCCCGCACAAGCGGCGGAGCAUGCGGAUUAAUUCGAUGCAACGCGAAGAACCUUACCAAGGCUUGACAUGAACCGGAAACACCUGGAGACAGGUGCCCCGCUUGCGGUCGGUUUACAGGUGGUGCAUGGUUGUCGUCAGCUCGUGUCGUGAGAUGUUGGGUUAAGUCCCGCAACGAGCGCAACCCUCGUUCUAUGUUGCCAGCACGUGAUGGUGGGGACUCAUAGGAGACUGCCGGGGUCAACUCGGAGGAAGGUGGGGACGACGUCAAAUCAUCAUGCCCCUUAUGUCUUGGGCUUCACGCAUGCUACAAUGGCCGGUACAAAGGGUUGCGAUACUGUGAGGUGGAGCUAAUCCCAAAAAGCCGGUCUCAGUUCGGAUUGGGGUCUGCAACUCGACCCCAUGAAGUCGGAGUCGCUAGUAAUCGCAGAUCAGCAACGCUGCGGUGAAUACGUUCCCGGGCCUUGUACACACCGCCCGUCAAGUCACGAAAGUUGGUAACACCCGAAGCCGGUGGCCUAACCCCUUGUGGGAGGGAGCUGUCGAA